UACGAAGGUCCCGAGCGUUAUUCGGAAUCACUGGGCGUAAAGGGAGCGUAGGCGGCGCGGUAAGUCAGAUGUGAAAUCUGGGGGCUCAACCCCCAAACUGCAUUCGAUACUGCCGUGCUAGAGUAAUGGAGGGGUAACUGGAAUUCUCAGUGUAGCAGUGAAAUGCGUAGAUAUUGAGAGGAAGACCAAUGGCGAAAGCAGGUUACUGGACAUUUACUGACGCUGAGGCUCGAAGGCUAGGGGAGCAAAAGGG
Molecule: ribosomal RNA, 253 nt
Filed under: uncultured bacterium
Lineage: Bacteria
Description: partial 16S ribosomal RNA
Rfam family: Bacterial small subunit ribosomal RNA
Source: RNAcentral